Molecule: transfer RNA, 75 nt
Filed under: Marinospirillum sp.
Lineage: Bacteria; Pseudomonadati; Pseudomonadota; Gammaproteobacteria; Oceanospirillales; Oceanospirillaceae
Description: tRNA-Gln
Rfam family: tRNA
About the family: Transfer RNA (tRNA) molecules are approximately 80 nucleotides in length. Their secondary structure includes four short double-helical elements and three loops (D, anti-codon, and T loops).
Source: RNAcentral
UGGGGUAUAGCCAAGUGGUAAGGCACCUGGUUUUGGUCCAGGCAUCCGGGAGUUCGAAUCUCUCUACCCCAGCCA